GGGGCCGUGGUCUAACCUGGUAUGAUUCGAGCCUUGGGAGUUCGCGAUCCCGGUUCAAAUCCGGGCGGCCUCA
Molecule: transfer RNA, 73 nt
Filed under: Candidatus Woesearchaeota archaeon
Lineage: Archaea; Nanobdellati; Candidatus Woesearchaeota
Description: tRNA-Pro
Rfam family: tRNA
About the family: Transfer RNA (tRNA) molecules are approximately 80 nucleotides in length.
Source: RNAcentral